This 253-nucleotide ribosomal RNA is filed under the name uncultured bacterium. RNAcentral's name for it is "partial 16S ribosomal RNA". It matches the Rfam family "Bacterial small subunit ribosomal RNA", at positions 524 to 776 of the family's 1533-position model. The record is from RNAcentral.
UACGUAGGUGGCAAGCGUUGUCCGGAUUUAUUGGGUUUAAAGGGUGCGUAGGCGGCCCUGUAAGUCAGUGCUGAAAUAUCCCAGCUUAACUGGGAGGGUGGCAUUGAUACUGCGGGGCUAGAGUACAGAUGAGGUAGGCGGAAUUCCCGGUGUAGUGGUGAAAUGCGUAGAUAUCGGGAGGAAUACCAGUGGCGAAGGCGGCUGCCUGGCCUGUUCUUGACGCUGAGGCGCGAAAGCUGGGGGAGCAAACGGG